CCUACGGGAGGCAGCAGUGGGGAAUAUUGCACAAUGGGGGAAACCCUGAUGCAGCGACGCCGCGUGAGCGAUGAAGUAUUUCGGUAUGGAAAGCUCUAUCAGCAGGGGAGAAAAUGACGGUACCUGACUAAGAAGCCACGGCUAACUACGUGCCAGCAGCCGAGGUAAUACGUAGGGGGCCAGCGUUAUCCGGAUUUACUGGGCGUAAAGGGAGCGUAGACGGGCUGGAAAGCCAGAUGUGAAAGCCCGCGGCUCAACCCAGAGACUGCAUUUGAAACUGUAAGCCUUGAGUGUAGGGGAGGUAGGCGGAAUUCGUGGUGUAGCGGUGAAAUGCGUAGAUAUUAGGAGGAACACCAAUGGCGAAGGCGGCCUGCUGGACGGUGACUGACGUUGAGGCUCGAAAGCGUGGGGAGCAAACAGGAUUAGAUACCCUAGUAGUC
Molecule: ribosomal RNA, 440 nt
Filed under: uncultured bacterium
Lineage: Bacteria
Description: partial 16S ribosomal RNA
Rfam family: Bacterial small subunit ribosomal RNA
Source: RNAcentral